This 253-nucleotide ribosomal RNA is filed under the name uncultured bacterium. Its description in RNAcentral is "partial 16S ribosomal RNA". It matches the Rfam family "Bacterial small subunit ribosomal RNA", at positions 524 to 776 of the family's 1533-position model. The record is from RNAcentral.
UACGGAGGGUGCAAGCGUUAAUCGGAAUUACUGGGCGUAAAGCGCGCGUAGGCGGCUCGAUAAGUCGGAUGUGAAAGCCCUGGGCUCAACCUGGGAACUGCAUUCGAUACUGUCGGGCUAGAGUGUGGGAGAGGGUGGUGGAAUUCCCGGUGUAGCGGUGAAAUGCGUAGAUAUCGGGAGGAACAUCAGUGGCGAAGGCGACCGCCUGGCCCAACACUGACGCUGAGGUGCGAAAGCGUGGGUAGCAAACAGG